AUUGAACGCUGGCGGCAGGCUUAACACAUGCAAGUCGAGCGGGGGAAGGUAGCUUGCUACCGGACCUAGCGGCGGACGGGUGAGUAAUGCUUAGGAAUCUGCCUAUUAGUGGGGGACAACAUCUCGAAAGGGAUGCUAAUACCGCAUACGUCCUACGGGAGAAAGCAGGGGAUCUUUGGACAUUGCGUUAAUAGAUGAGCCUAAGUCGGAUUAGCUAGUUGGUGGGGUAAAGGCCGACCAAGGCGACGAUCUGUAGCGGGUCUGAGAGGAUGAUCCGCCACACUGGGACUGAGACACGGCCCAGACUCCUACGGGAGGCAGCAGUGGGGAAUAUUGGACAAUGGGGGGAACCCUGAUCCAGCCAUGCCGCGUGUGUGAAGAAGGCCUUAUGGUUGUAAAGCACUUUAAGCGAGGAGGAGGCUACUUUAGUUAAUACCUAGAGAUAGUGGACGUUACUCGCAGAAUAAGCACCGGCUAACUCUGUGCCAGCCGCCGCAGUAA
Molecule: ribosomal RNA, 501 nt
Filed under: uncultured bacterium
Lineage: Bacteria
Description: partial 16S ribosomal RNA
Rfam family: Bacterial small subunit ribosomal RNA
Source: RNAcentral